GUCGAGCGAGAAGUGACUUCGGUCGCGAGUAAAGCGGCGAACGGGUGAGUACAACGUGGAUAAUCUACCCUAGGGUCUGGGACAACCCCGAGAAAUCGGGGCUAAUACCGGAUAAGACCACAGUAUCCAAGGAUACAGCGGUAAAAGAUUUAUCGCCUUUGGAUGAGUCCACGCCCCAUCAGGUAGUUGGUAAGGUAAAGGCUUACCAAGCCUAAGACGGGUAGCCGGCCUUAGCGGGUGAACGGCCACAUGGGGACUGAGACACGGCCCUGACUCCUACGGGAGGCAGCAGUGGGGAAUAUUGGGCAAUGGGCGAAAGCCUGACCCAGCGAUGCCGCGUGAGGGAUGAAGGCCUUCGGGUUGUAAACCUCUGUCAGGAGGGACGAUGGGACACUUGUGUCUUGACGGUACCUCCAGAGGAAGCCCCGGCUAACUCCGUGCCAGCAGCCGCGGUAAUACGGAGGGGGCAAGCGUUGCCCGGAAUUACUGGGCGUAAAGGGUCCGCAGGCUGUCAGGCAAGUUGGUUGUGAAAUCCCAAGGCUUAACCUUGGAAUUGCAUCCAAAACUGCCUGACUAGAGUCCAAGAGAGGUUGGCGGAAUUCCCGGUGUAGCGGUGAAAUGCAUAGAUAUCGGGAGGAACACCAGAGGCGAAGGCGGCCAACUGGCUUGGUACUGACGCUCAGGGACGAAAGCGUGGGUAGCAAACCGGAUUAGAUACCCGGGUAGUCCACGCCCUAAACGAUGGAUGCUAGGUAGGGGGAAUUUAAUUCUCCCUGCCGUAGUUAACGCAUUAAGCAUCCCGCCUGGGGAGUACGGUCGCAAGGCUGAAACUCAAAGGAAUUGGCGGGGGCCCGCACAAGCGGUGGAGCACGUGGUUUAAUUCGAUGCUAAGCGAAAA
This 898-nucleotide ribosomal RNA is filed under the name uncultured delta proteobacterium. Its description in RNAcentral is "bacterial SSU rRNA". It matches the Rfam family "Bacterial small subunit ribosomal RNA", at positions 61 to 967 of the family's 1533-position model. The record is from RNAcentral. Lineage: Bacteria; Deltaproteobacteria.